CACUGCUUCCCUACUGCUGUGAGUGCUGGGCAGACAGCAGCCACAUAACCUGAGGAGUCACCUCUUGCCCUCAGCCAAUGGUUGACAGAUAGGAGGGUCUAAAAGUCUGGUCUCCUUGCCUCAAGAGGAGAUACCUCUAUGAUCCAUUUAUGUACCAGAGCCCUCCUGUGUGGAUCAGGCCAAUGUCAACGUUACUUGAGAUGACCUUGUUUCUUGACUCUUUCUCCCUCUUUGUCCUGCUUUACUCUCCCCCUUACAGGUUGCAUGUGGGAUCGCACCUUCACCGUAUCACUUUUACAAGACUCCUUGUCACAGGCUCUGUUUAGAGAACCCAAAGGAAGUCAUUGUAAGGACUUUGGCUUGUAUUCUGGGACACGGAAGUCAUUAUAGGGUUUGAGAAGUGACAUGUUCUGCCUUAUAUUUAGAAUUGCUCUUCCCACACCUGUGUUGAGAAGAGACUAUAAGAGAGAAAAGAGUGGAAGCAGAAAGACUGGUUAGGAGGCUCUUGCAGCAAUCCAGACUCUAGACAUGUGACCUGGAGAUGCAGCAUCCAUCUUGUGACCAUGAAGCAAUAGGGAUAAGGGUAAAAGUCUACACAUUGCAGAUUGCAGAUAAAAACAUGAAAAGAUCCUGGCUGCCUGAUGACACUACAGGGGAGAAAUUGAGAGUAGAAAGAAGAAUGACGAGGUUUACGCUCUCCUGAGGAAGGACCCUCAAGAGAGGACCUUAUGAACACAAUUAGCUACUGAAAAAGACUUGGAAAAAAUUAUGGCACAAUGAAGAAAAUAAUCUUCAAGGCUCAGUGGAAGAAAAAGAAGAGAGGAGGUCUCAGAGAGGUAAUUCAUGAAGUGAGCAUCAAAGCAUGGAAUAACUAAUUGUGUUAAAGACAAAUGUGCCAGCAUGGAGCUAAAUUCGGAGAAAAAAAAAGUAAUGUCAAAAAGAAUGUGGCGGACAGGCAUGGUGACUCACAUCUGUAAUCCCAGCACUUUGGGAGGCCGAGGUAGGAGGAUUGCCUGAUAUCAGGAGUUUGAGACCAGCCUGACCAACAUGGAGAAACCCACUCAUGGUGGUGCAUGCCUGUAGUCCCAGCUACUCAGGAGGCUGAGGCAGGAGAAUCGCUUCAACCCAGGAGGCGGAGGUUGCAGUGAGCCAAGAUGGGGCCACUGCAAUUCCAGCCUGCGUGACAGAGCAAGACUGUCUCACAAAAAAAAAAAAAAAGAAAGAAAGAAAGAAUGUGGCAAUCAAUUUUACCUGGGAGGAGGGAGGAGUAAGGGAGGCUCUGGUGAUGCAUCUCGAAGAAGAGGGUAAUUAAAAUUGUAUUCAGAAUUGCAUUCAGAGGACCUUUCUAUUUUAUUAAUUGCCAUAUCCCUGGUUGUGAAUAUCACAUAAUUAUAUAAAUUGAAUCUUUUUCUUUAUGUGUUGACCUGGAAAUAUGACCAUGAUUUUAAAUGACAAAAGCAA
This 1461-nucleotide long non-coding RNA is filed under the name Homo sapiens (human). Its description in RNAcentral is "PREDICTED lncRNA (TCONS_00257193)". The record is from RNAcentral. Lineage: Eukaryota; Metazoa; Chordata; Mammalia; Primates; Hominidae.